AUAUUCAGUCCGCAGUCCCUGAUUCAUCUUAUCCAAAACUCCUCCCUUUCCAGCGACGACAGCGACGGCAGCGAUGGCUCCCUUUCCAGCGACGGCAGCGAUGGCGGAGCACGAGUAGGUGAGGGGCGGCGCCUUCGUCGGACGGCUAGCCGUGGCGGAGGAGAAGGCGGCGCCAUGGUUGCGGCUACAGACGAAGCGGAGGAGAAGGCGGACGCCGUGGGCUUGCUGCACGGCUACAGCCGAGGCGGAGGAGAAGGCGGACGCCGUGGGCGUUCAUGGAGGAUGGUACACCGGCCGCCGGCACCGACCGCCAGUCCUCUCUGGCCUCCUCCGUGGUAUCCUUGUCAACCUCCGCUGCUCCUAUCGUGAUUUGGAUGGAAAAUUGGAGGCCGGCCGUGUCCUUCUCCAACACAAAUUGAUGUAGUGCCCGCCCCGGAUUUGAUUGGCUGCUAUAAGAAGCAAGGGUCCUCGGCCGGAAUCUCCAUCAGGUUUUGCCCUUCGACCAUAAUCUCCAUCAUCCUGUCGAAAUUGCAAGUUUUGAACAAACAUCCAAUGUCGCCGCCAAGUUCGCCGGAGGAACAAGCGCCGAGUUCGCCGGAGGAACAAGCGCCGGGUUCGCCGGAGGAACAAGAACGCCCGCCGAGUCCUGUGAUGGCUACACGAGAGGUAUGUAUCCCCUCGAAGCUACGCCACGACGCGUUAGAGCCUGAAGUCCGUCAAAACUUGACCUGACCGUCAUUGACGCCACCUUGCUGCCGCUGUUGCUGGAGAUGAGCUGAAUAGCAAGCUUUGGUUUCCUCUUUGCUUCCACUUGACUACUCUUCGACUAUCUGUAAUUGUAAAACACCUAAUACGAUUCUUCAGCACUUGAUACUGGUGGUCAUGGUCUUCUUCUCUUACUGUUGCGAGACUUGGUUUUAGUUAGUAAUCUUGAGAUCAAGUGUACUCGUGGAUUGCUUAGAUGGAGGACCACUGUUGGUUUUGUACUUAGAUGCGAUUGUGAAUCAUGUAUGGUUUAAUUCAGAUUCAUGUGGUAUUUUUCCUAAAUUUGUACCUGCCUGAACAUUAUUACUAUUAAACUAUGAAUAAUGAUUUUUGCAACUGUAGGAGAAUUUCUUUGCCGCAUCACAAGAAAAACAAUUUGAGACAGAAAAGUGUACUGAACCUUCUAAUUAUUGUAUGAACUUGCUUCACUUAAUUUAAGAAGUACACAUACUGCUAGCAUUUGCAUCACACCGGGCAGCCUAUUAUUGAGAGAUCUGACUUCAUCAGGAUUGCGGGUUCGUGACUUAAUCCUGAUUGGGUAUGCUGGCUGCCCGUACAGGAUUAACGUGCCCUAUAUGCGGCGACCCGCGGCUACUCCUCCCAGCCCCGGAUAUGCUCUUCCGCCACCUGCGACCCGCAGCUCCAAUGAUCCACGACAAGGGAUGACGACCAACUCGGCUGCCCCUCUCCCGUGCAGCUCCCUCUGAGGCUGCAGCAGCCUUCGCACGAGGCCACUACGGCGCCACCUAUGCUGUCCUGAAGUUCCCUAAGAUUCGAAAGUUUCAGUUUCAUCAGUUUCGUCAGAUUUAGUUUCAUCAGAUUCAGAAAAUUCAGUUCAUCAGUUUCAUCAAAGUUUCAGUUGUCAGUUAAUUUGUCGGGCACGUUGGCACUCGUGCACGUCGUCCGCUUCCUCACAUCACUCGCUCACAUAGCCCACCUGUCGAUCCAAACAAUGGCUUGGUCAGGGAUCGGACUGGACCAGACGGUGUUCACCAUGACCUGAAGGCGAUGCCCGAGUCCAAGUGCGUGUAAGUUACACCAGCCUUUGAUUUAUAUAUCCACCGUCCACUGAUCAGUGACCUGAAAAGGUUGGGCGCUCUGAGUUAGCACAUAAGCUGAUUGAUGAGAUGGAUUGAAAUGCUUUUGAUUUGUUACGUCGUCAAUAUUCCAAACUGAAGUCCAAGGAAGAACGAUCAGGAACAACAGGUAAGAAGCCCAUGAGUUAGUUGUCUUACAGGCAUGCACGUGCACAAGGUGCUGAUACAUAGUUACAGAUUUCCAAUGGAUGCUGGUAUUGUCGGCUGACAUCUCCGGGGUUGUACAUCAUGAUGGUUACCAAGACACGACAAUGAUCUCAAUGCUACAAACCUGAAUGGAAUACCAUAACUGCAGACCUGAUCACAAUGCUACAGACUUGAAUGAAAUACCAUGAUUGCAGGCCUUUGCUGAUUUGCGUUUUCCAUUGAUCUUCAAUGCACUAAAGAAUAGUGAAAUCUUGGCAUCUGAUUCAUUUUGCAGGCUAUGCUUUUAACUCAAUGAAAAUGUGCAUUGUUAGUUGACCUUAUUGUCUGUUUGUAGCUAAUUGGGAGACAAACAUGGGCAAUGAGCAGCUUUUUUGAUGACAGUGCAAUCAAGGACUCACAUAUUCACUGAUGAAUCUACCUCUAUUUGGGUCUUCAUCGGCAAUGUACAUAGUGAUGCUUAACUGCCGGUUUGAAUUAUUGGAUGCAUCUGUUGUGAGACAUUCAUGUGUUGUCAUAGUGACUUGCCUGCGCUCAUUGUUGAUUGCUAAGAACUGAGUUGGUCCAGAGAUUGCAGCUGAGAUGGAGCUCAAGAGGACAACUAGACAUGCACAGCUUGGUGUGAUCCACAGAGGAGAUCACAUUUCCAGUCCAGUCAUAAAUUAUUAUAAUUAUUUUACUCAUGUUCAUACUAAAUUUGAAACGGGUCAAUCCACAAGCUUUUGAUCCUCGGUUCAUUUUUGAACUAUAUCCAUGUGUUCUAUCAAGGAUCAUUUUGGCGCAUAUGGAAAAGACAAGCAAUUUUGUUACCAGAAUUAUCAUAUUUGUAAGGUCAAUCACACAUGGGUUCUGCACUUCACUAGAAAUAAUUUAUACCCUUGACCUGAUAAGUUGUUGUUGUUGUAUUAUGAAUUAUUCAUAGUAUGAGACCAAAUUUAUUGUUUUAGUUUCAUACAAUUUUUUGUUCUUUGAUAAAUGGAGAUUGUCAUUGUCUUCCGUUUGCAUGCCAGAAUUUAGCGGUUCAUUGUAACAGUUAUUUGGCUUGAUAUUUAUCUGUUUAGAUACGUGGGUUCAAGGAUAUUAAUAUCCCGUUGCAACGCCUCCCUGGGUGGCAACGUUCUGAUGUUGCCGUGCCAUGCAGUCGGAUGUUUUGAGUUCUGUUUUUAGGUGGACAAGGUAACUAGCACUUUUUUCAUAGCGAAACAUGGGGGUUGUGCUUGCAUAUAUAUUUCUUAGAAAAAUUGAGUGCAUGCUAAAAAAAAUUCUCUCCCAUUGCAACGCAAGGGCAUUUGUGCUAGUUUAUUUUUUUAAUCUAUCCCUAAUAAUAAUAAAGCACGGAUUGACUCCGUGGGU
Triticum urartu is the source of this 3359-nucleotide non-coding RNA. The record is from RefSeq and is a predicted model, not a curated record. NCBI's taxonomy places the organism in Eukaryota, Viridiplantae, Streptophyta, Magnoliopsida, Poales, Poaceae.